GGGACGAACGCUGGCGGCGUGCUUAACACAUGCAAGUCGAGCGAGGCCCGUCCUUCGGGACGGUGCCCUAGCGGCGAACGGGUGAGUAACACGUGGGCAACCUGCCCCUAGCACUGGGAUAACUCCGGGAAACCGGGGCUAAUACCGGAUAUGACCUUUGAGGGCAUCCUCGAAGGUGUAAAGGAUUCUGGCUAGGGAUGGGCCCGCGGCCUAUCAGCUUGGUUGGUGGGGUAACGGCCUACCAAGGCGACGACGGGUAG
RNAcentral lists this ribosomal RNA (260 nucleotides) under uncultured bacterium. RNAcentral describes it as "partial small subunit ribosomal RNA". It matches the Rfam family "Bacterial small subunit ribosomal RNA", at positions 27 to 286 of the family's 1533-position model. The record is from RNAcentral.